RNAcentral lists this ribosomal RNA (990 nucleotides) under Triticum aestivum (bread wheat). RNAcentral's name for it is "partial small subunit ribosomal RNA". The record is from RNAcentral. Lineage: Eukaryota; Viridiplantae; Streptophyta; Magnoliopsida; Poales; Poaceae.
AUGCUUGCCCACGCGGGCGCGGGCUUGAGCUUCUCCGCCUACUCUUCUCCGCUGCCGGGGCCGGGCUACUCAUACUCCCCCACACUCUUCUCCCACCCCCACCCAGACCACUCCUCCACCUCUGUCUCCGCUGCUCCGGCGCAACCGCCGCCAGCACUGCCGCUCCUGCUGCAUCAACAACAUCAAGCCGCCGCUGCUGUUGCUGCACCCGACGACGCCGCCAACAUCUGCCACCACCUCGUGAUCGGAGACAUGGGGCAGCCAUCCCUGAUAUCAGAGUAUGACCUGGGAGCAGAAGGCGACCUGUUCAAGGCUCCGGAGCCCAUACUCGAGGAACCGCUGCUCGCCCUCGACCCGGUCGCCGCCGCCAUCUCGAUCAUGUCCGGCAGCGACAACGCCAUGAACAACACCGUCAAGGCCUCGGACAUGAGCCUGAGUGAGGCGCUGUACAAGUGCGAGAAGGAGCUCAUGGAGGAGUCGGCCAUCGAGGAGACGAUAUCCGAACUGCUGGACGUCAAGAUCCCCAUGCUGCAGGUCGAGGACGUCCUCGGGGAGCUCAGGGCCUCUGCCGAUGGAUGCUUGCUCCAGAAGAGCGUCAGCCUUAACUCGGCCGACUGGAUGAACGGGUCGGCGGUGACGCCCAACUUCUUCGACUUCCAAGGGCUUGACUUCGAAGCGGCGUUCGGGCUCCGGCGAGUCUACAGCGAGGGUGACAUUCACCUUUGUGACAUGAGGCUUGGUGCCAAUACCCCUGGAGCUGGGAUCGCGGCAAAUGUGCAGGCAUCUGGUGAGAGGCUUGUGACCAUCAGUGACCUGAAAAGGGAGCAAAGGAGACAGAAGCUCAACAGGUACAGGGAGAAGAAGAUCCAGAGGAACUUUGGCAGAAAGAUCAAGUAUGCUUGCAGGAAGGCUCUGGCAGACAGCCAGCCGAGGGUGCGAGGGAGGUUCGCCAAGAUGGACGAUGGCUACAUGCUCAAGCCAAGGAAGUAG